RNAcentral lists this long non-coding RNA (1242 nucleotides) under Felis catus (domestic cat). Its description in RNAcentral is "lncRNA (ENSFCAG00000048436.1)". Lineage: Eukaryota; Metazoa; Chordata; Mammalia; Carnivora; Felidae. The record is from RNAcentral.
AUGCCAGCACCAAACCUGAGAGGUAGGCUUCUUCCCCUGUCUUUGAGAGACGGGAAACUGAGGCUCAGAUCGGCAAAGCCUUUGCCUGAUGUCAGCGGGGAGCACGAGGCGGGACCAGGAAAGGAAGGUGUGCCUGACUCCACCCAAGUUGACAAAGCUGACGGAGGGGAAGGAUGGACUGUCCGGGCUGCAGAAAUAGCCCAGGCCUCCAGACAGGCUGGGGGAGCUGGGGCUUCCAGGGAAGGGCCCCUCCAUGGGAAAUGGGGUGAGCCCGCCGGUGAAAGCGGGGGCGGGGGGGUCAGGCUCACCUCCAGCAACUUUCCCAGUGACAGUGCCGGUGUUCGCCCAUCCCCCACUCAACAAACAUUUCACUGGUCACCUACUGCCUGCCAGGGAAGGGGGGGGCAGCUGGGGCCUGGGGACAAAGGAACAAAGGAGAGGCCCAAGUUCCCGUCCACAGGAGGUCUGUACCUGCACCUGCAGGGCAGGAGGCUCCCUGAGCACGGAAGGGGGGUGCCGAGCCCGCAUUUCCCGCCAGGCAGUGAUCCCACAGAAGCCCAGUGGAUUCCGGGCCCACGUUUCAUUCCAGAUCAGAGCCUGGGGCAGGGGUUCUGGGGUCAGACUGAUUGCAAUCCUGGCUCCAGUAUUUGCCAGAACUUGCUUAGCUGCGUAUGCACUGCGGGGAGGGGGGCACCUCGGGUUAAGAUGAGCCACGAACAAGGUAACGAACGUUGCAACGUGGCGUGGUGCGCACAGGAACUCGCCAGAAGGUGCGACUCGUUACCACAUGACAGACAGCCCCCAGGAGACUCGGCGCCUGGCUCCCCAAACACCACAGAUAGGAGCCGGCCCACGGCUCCGGCCCCCUCCACACCGGCAGCCCCGACCUCCCAGACCGAGGGGCUGGAGUUGAAGGUGGCGUCCUGGUUCCUGACCUGUACCCAGCGGGCAUCCCCCCUCUGGUGCCCGGCAUGCCGCCCCCCUCUCCCGGGAUGCAGGGGACUGACUUCCCCAAGCAGGGAAGUUGGGGUUCGGUCAGGGAGAUGGUUUCACACGGCUGGAUUCCAGCAGGGCUCCAGACCGGCCGUGUGCCUCCUGCUUCCCGCCCUUCCGCGAGGAGGGCAGUGGCCCUUCCCCUGGCCUGUCCCACCCCGGGUGCUCACAGCCCCACGGGCCUCCCAAUGGGGGAACCCCGGCACCUUCCUCAUGUCGACCCCGCUUAGACAAGACCCUGGACCCUGA